AUUGAACGCUGGCGGCGUGCUUAACACAUGCAAGUCGAUCGGUAACAGGUGUAGCAAUACAUGCUGACGAGAGGCGGACGGGUGAGUAAUGCUUGGGAAUCUGCCUAUUAGUGGGGGACAACCCGGGGAAACUCGGGCUAAUACCGCAUACGCUCUACGGAGGAAAGCCGGGGACCGCAAGGCCUGGCGCUAAUAGAUGAGCCCAAGUCGGAUUAGCUAGUUGGUAGGGUAACGGCCUACCAAGGCGACAAUCCGUAGCUGGUCUGAGAGGACGACCAGCCACACCGGAACUGAGACACGGUCCGGACUCCUACGGGAGGCAGCAGUGGGGAAUAUUGGACAAUGGGGGCAACCCUGAUCCAGCGACGCCGCGUGGGGAUGAAGGUCUUCGGAUUGUAAACCCCUUUCGGGAGGGAAGAUGGGACGAGCAAUCGUUCGGACGGUACCUCCAGAAGCAGCCACGGCUAACUUCGUGCCAGCAGCCGCAGUAAG
RNAcentral lists this ribosomal RNA (492 nucleotides) under uncultured bacterium. Its description in RNAcentral is "bacterial SSU rRNA". It matches the Rfam family "Bacterial small subunit ribosomal RNA", at positions 29 to 524 of the family's 1533-position model. The record is from RNAcentral.